UACGGGGGGGGUAAGCGUUGUUCGGAAUUACUGGGCGUAAAGGGCUCGUAGGCGGCCAACUAAGUCAGACGUGAAAUCCCUCAGCUUAACUGGGGAACUGCGUCUGAUACUGGAUGGCUUGGAUUCGGGAGAGGAAUGCGGAAUUCCAGGUGUAGCGGUGAAAUGCGUAGAUAUCUGGAGGAACACCGGUGGCGAAGGCGACAUCCUGGACCGGUAUUGACGCUGAGGCACGAAGGCCAGGGGAGCAAACGGG
Molecule: ribosomal RNA, 253 nt
Filed under: uncultured bacterium
Lineage: Bacteria
Description: partial 16S ribosomal RNA
Rfam family: Bacterial small subunit ribosomal RNA
Source: RNAcentral